GACGAACGCUGGCGGCGUGCCUAAUACAUGCAAGUCGAGCGAAAGCUCUCUGGUCCUUGUACUAGAAAGACGCAGCGGCGAGCGUGUGAGUAACACGCAUAGAACCUACCUCAUAGACGGGCGCAACUAUUGGAAAUGAUAGCGCAUACCGGAUGACAGUAUUAACUGGAGGGCGGAUGUUUAAAAGCUAGUUUUGCUAACACUAUGAGAUUGCUUUGCGGGGCAUUAGCUAGUUGGUGGGGUAAAGGCCUACCAAGGCGACGAUGCGUAGCCGACCUGAGAGGGUGAUCGGCCACACUGGGACUGAGACACGGCCCAGACUCCUACGGGAGGCAGCAGUAGGGAAUCUUCCGCAAUGGGCGAAAGCCUGACGGAGCCACGCCGCGUGAGUGAAGAAGGAUUUCGGUUCGUAAAGCUCUGUUGUUAGGGAAGAAUGAUUGUGUAGUAACUAUACACAGUAGUGACGGUACCUAAAGAGAAAGCCCCGGCUAACUACGUG
Molecule: ribosomal RNA, 499 nt
Filed under: uncultured bacterium
Lineage: Bacteria
Description: partial 16S ribosomal RNA
Rfam family: Bacterial small subunit ribosomal RNA
Source: RNAcentral